RNAcentral lists this ribosomal RNA (791 nucleotides) under Bacillus wiedmannii. RNAcentral's name for it is "bacterial SSU rRNA". It matches the Rfam family "Bacterial small subunit ribosomal RNA", at positions 112 to 887 of the family's 1533-position model. Lineage: Bacteria; Bacillati; Bacillota; Bacilli; Caryophanales; Bacillaceae. The record is from RNAcentral.
AACACGUGGGUAACCUACCCAUAAGACUGGGAUAACUCCGGGAAACCGGGGCUAAUACCGGAUAAUAUUUUGAACUGCAUAGUUCGAAAUUGAAAGGCGGCUUCGGCUGUCACUUAUGGAUGGACCCGCGUCGCAUUAGCUAGUUGGUGAGGUAACGGCUCACCAAGGCGACGAUGCGUAACCGACCUGAGAGGGUGAUCGGCCACACUGGGACUGAGACACGGCCCACACUCCUACGGGAGGCAGCAGUAGGGAAUCUUCCGCAAUGGACGAAAGUCUGACGGAGCAACGCCGCGUGAGUGAUGAAGGCUUUCGGGUCGUAAAACUCUGUUGUUAGGGAAGAACAAGUGCUAGUUGAAUAAGCUGGCACCUUGACGGUACCUAACCAGAAAGCCACGGCUAACUACGUGCCAGCAGCCGCGGUAAUACGUAGGUGGCAAGCGUUAUCCGGAAUUAUUGGGCGUAAAGCGCGCGCAGGUGGUUUCUUAAGUCUGAUGUGAAAGCCCACGGCUCAACCGUGGAGGGUCAUUGGAAACUGGGAGACUUGAGUGCAAAAGAGGAAAGUGGAAUUCCAUGUGUAGCGGUGAAAUGCGUAUAGAUAUGGAGGAACACCAGUGGCGAAGGCGACUUUCUGGUCUGUAACUGACACUGAGGCGCGAAAGCGUGGGGAGCAAACAGGAUUACAUACCCUGGUAGUCCACGCCGUAAACGAUGAGUGCUAAGUGUUAGAGGGUUUCCGCCCUUUAGUGCUGAAGUUAACGCAUUAAGCACUCCGCCUGGGGAGUACGGCC